This 497-nucleotide ribosomal RNA is filed under the name uncultured bacterium. Its description in RNAcentral is "partial 16S ribosomal RNA". It matches the Rfam family "Bacterial small subunit ribosomal RNA", at positions 28 to 507 of the family's 1533-position model. The record is from RNAcentral.
GACGAACGCUGGCGGCGUGCCUAAUACAUGCAAGUAGAACGCUGAAGGAAGGAGCUCGCUCUUUCUGGAUGAGUUGCGAACGGGUGAGUAACGCGUAGGUAACCUGCCUGGUAGCGGGGGAUAACUAUUGGAAACGAUAGCUAAUACCGCAUAAAAUUGAUUAUUGCAUGAUAGUCAAUUAAAAGGUGCAACUGCACCACUACCAGAUGGACCUGCGUUGUAUUAGCUAGUUGGUGGGGUAACGGCUCACCAAGGCGACGAUACAUAGCCGACCUGAGAGGGUGAUCGGCCACACUGGGACUGAGACACGGCCCAGACUCCUACGGGAGGCAGCAGUAGGGAAUCUUCGGCAAUGGACGGAAGUCUGACCGAGCAACGCCGCGUGAGUGAAGAAGGUUUUCGGAUCGUAAAGCUCUGUUGUAAGAGAAGAACGAGUGUGAGAGUGGAAAGUUCACACUGUGACGGUAUCUUACCAGAAAGGGACGGCUAACUACGUG